GCUAGGAUGAACGCUAGCGACAGGCUUAACACAUGCAAGUCGAGGGGCAGCAUAAAAGUAGCAAUACUUGGUGGCGACCGGCGCACGGGUGAGUAACGCGUAUGCAACCUACCUAUCAGAGGGGAAUAACCCGGCGAAAGUCGGACUAAUACCGCAUAAAACAGGGACACCGCAUGGUGAUAUUUGUUAAAGAAAUUCGCUGAUAGAUGGGCAUGCGUUCCAUUAGGUAGUUGGUGAGGUAACGGCUCACCAAGCCGACGAUGGAUAGGGGAACUGAGAGGUUGGUCCCCCACACUGGUACUGAGACACGGACCAGACUCCUACGGGAGGCAGCAGUGAGGAAUAUUGGUCAAUGGGCGAGAGCCUGAACCAGCCAAGUCGCGUGAAGGAAGAAGGAUCUAUGGUUCGUAAACUUCUUUUGCAGGGGAAUAAAGUGCAGGACGUGUCCUGUUUUGUAUGUACCCUGAGAAUAAGGAUCGGCUAACUCCGUGCCAGCCGCCGC
Molecule: ribosomal RNA, 502 nt
Filed under: uncultured bacterium
Lineage: Bacteria
Description: bacterial SSU rRNA
Rfam family: Bacterial small subunit ribosomal RNA
Source: RNAcentral